Molecule: ribosomal RNA, 287 nt
Filed under: uncultured bacterium
Lineage: Bacteria
Description: partial 16S ribosomal RNA
Rfam family: Bacterial small subunit ribosomal RNA
Source: RNAcentral
GGAUUAGAUACCCUGGUAGUCCACGCCGUAAACGAUGGUCACUAGCUGUUCGGGAGCAAUCCUGAGUGGCUAAGCGAAAGUGAUAAGUGACCCACCUGGGGAGUACGUUCGCAAGAAUGAAACUCAAAGGAAUUGACGGGGGCCCGCACAAGCGGUGGAGCAUGUGGUUUAAUUCGAUGAUACGCGAGGAACCUUACCAGGGCUUAAAUGUAGGUUGCAUGAUCUAGAGAUAGAUCUUUCUUCGGACUACUUACAAGGUGCUGCAUGGUUGUCGUCAGCUCGUGCCG